Molecule: long non-coding RNA, 1198 nt
Organism: Chelonia mydas (Green sea turtle)
Lineage: Eukaryota; Metazoa; Chordata; Testudines; Cheloniidae
Exons: 2
Source: RefSeq, a predicted model, not a curated record
AAUCUUUUUUCUGUAGUUUUCUAGCCUUUCUUCUGCUUUCCGCUUUUGUAAUUCUUCAUGACCAAGCCCACCUCUGCCUGUUUAAGUUCAAAACACUGUUGUGAGCAGCUGAGAGACUGUGAACUCCAACUAAUUAUAAGAGAUGGAUAAAUCAAGCAUCAUGGUGCACUGACAAUGGACUGGCGGAUCAGGCAUUCCUUAUUUUUUCUGUUGAAUUGUAGUGUUGCUAUGUGCUUCAUUCAGGCUGCUGCCCUAUGCACCAAAGAAGGAUGGCUUAAUUUGAUAGGCAUAACAUAUUAGUAAUUAAUAAUAAUCAUUAACAAUACACUGCACCCUUCUGUAGCAUCUUUCAUAUGAGAAUCUUCAGACACUUUACAAACAUUCACUAACUAAGCGUCAGUAUGCCCUCACUAUUCACUCAUAGAGUGCAUCAUUUAUUCAUCCCCUAGUGAUUUACUCUGGAUAGAUCCCAGAUGAUAUUUUUGCUUCACUAGGGCUCUGUAUAGAAGGACUUAGUGUCUAUGUGCACAGAUCCCUUUCCAGAAUCAAGCUGUAAAUUUGUGCAGAUUGGAAAUAGGUUCUUUAAUAUUAAAAGUUACUUCCUUGGAAGGAACACCAAAAUCAAAAGGCUAUGCCCUGCUACAGCUAGUAAGAUUCUUGUAAACUAUCAUCCACAUCUGAAAUACCAUUUAGUUAGUAGCAGUACUGUUUCUUUCUCUUCCAAUUCCCCCAUAUCCCUCACCCUUUUUAUUUCAGAGAUUUUAAGGGCUUACUCUCACCUUCUGUGCUUUCUUCUGCUGUGCCAAGGUGGCAGUUAAGAACUACGCUAACAGACAGGAGUUCUUAUAGAGGUAUUCAUUUAAUUCAUCGAGAGAUAGGUGGAACGGUAUUAGUAACAGGUACCCUUUUAAACCCACAUUUUGAAAAAUGGGCAUACAUCUAAAUUCUUAGAAGUUAACAAACUUACCACUCUUGCCAAGGGCCUGCCCACUUUUGUACCCCAUCUUUUGGAGCAAAGCAAAGCCUUUGUUUUCAUUUCCUAAAGAACUUUUCAACACAGUGUCACGUCUCUCUCUUUCCUCUUCUUUUAGGCUCUUUUGUCUAUUUUUCUGGUUAGCUUCUCUCUGCUUUUCUUCUUUUUGAAUAGCUUCUUUCACAUGCCUCACCAUUGGCAAUCCUGGCCUGACAUCCUGUCUAA